AUGAAGAACGUAGCGAAAUGCGAUAAGUAAUGUGAAUUGCAGAAUUCAGUGAAUCAUCGAAUCUUUGAACGCACAUUGCGCCCGCCAGUAUUCUCGCGGGCAUGCCUGUCCGAGCGUCAUUUCAACCCUCGAACCCCUCCGGGGGGUCGGCGUUGGGGAUCGGCCCUUUACGGGGCCGGCCCCGAAAUACAGUGGCGGUCUCGCCGCAGCCUCUCCUGCGCAGUAGUUUGCACACUCGCAUCGGGAGCGCGGCGCGUCCACAGCCGUUAAACACCCCAAACUUCUGAAAUGUUGACCUCGGAUCAGGUAGGAAUACCCGCUGAACUUAAGCAUAUCAAUAAGCGGAGGA
Molecule: unclassified non-coding RNA, 349 nt
Filed under: soil metagenome
Description: partial contains 5.8S ribosomal RNA, internal transcribed spacer 2, and large subunit ribosomal RNA
Rfam family: 5.8S ribosomal RNA (bases 1-119)
Source: RNAcentral